CUGUCUUAUAGCAAUAAUGUUAAUCUGUUAACAAAGUUACGUAGUGGAACAUUAAAGUUAAAUAUUGAAGUUGGCCGUUAUAAUAAUAUUCCUAGAGAAAAUCGUUUAUGUGAAUGUUGUAAAAUGUGUGUUAUUGAAGAUGAAUACCAUUUUGUUCUUGUUUGUCCAUCUUAUAGAUCUGUACGAACACAAUUUUUACCAAAGUACUAUUGUCAUUGGCCUAAUAAUAUCAAACUAUUAAAUUUAUUACAAGCUUCUAGUAAGUCUCUCACGAUCAAAUUAUGUAAUUAUGUAAAAGCUGCAUGGAAUAUUCGAUCUCAUAUAGUCUCAUAACUUAAUUUAUA
Molecule: long non-coding RNA, 344 nt
Filed under: Mytilus galloprovincialis (Mediterranean mussel)
Lineage: Eukaryota; Metazoa; Mollusca; Bivalvia; Mytilida; Mytilidae
Source: RNAcentral